CAGCCGCCGCGGUAAUACGUAGGUGGCAAGCGUUGUCCGGAAUUAUUGGGCGUAAAGGGCUCGCAGGCGGUUUCUUAAGUCUGAUGUGAAAGCCCCCGGCUCAACCGGGGAGGGUCAUUGGAAACUGGGAAACUUGAGUGCAGAAGAGGAGAGUGGAAUUCCGCGUGUAGCGGUGAAAUGCGUAGAGAUGUGGAGGAACACCAGUGGCGAAGGCGACUCUCUGGUCUGUAACUGACGCUGAGGAGCGAAAGCGUGGGGAGCGAACAGGAUUAGAUACCCCUGUAGUCCCUGUCUCUUAUAC
Molecule: ribosomal RNA, 301 nt
Filed under: uncultured bacterium
Lineage: Bacteria
Description: partial 16S ribosomal RNA
Rfam family: Bacterial small subunit ribosomal RNA
Source: RNAcentral